CCUACGGGAGGCAGCAGUGGGGAAUCUUCCGCAAUGGGCGAAAGCCUGACGGAGCAACGCCGCGUGGAGGAAGAAGGUCUUCGGAUUGUAAACUCCUUUCAGCGGAGACGAAGCCUGUAUGGGUGACGGUAUCCGCAGAAGAAGCCCCGGCCAACUACGUGCCAGCAGCCGCGGUAAGACGUAGGGGCAAGCGUUGUCCGGAAUUACUGGGCGUAAAGAGCGCGUAGGCGGUUUAUUAAGUCAGAUGUGAAAGUCUUAGGAUCAAACUGAGAAUUGCAUCUGAAACUGAUAGACUAGAGUCCAAUAGAGGAGAGUGGAAUUCCCGGUGUAGGGGUAAAAUGCGCAGAGAUCGGGAGGAACACCAGGGGCGAGGGCGGCUCUCGGGAUUGCGACUGACGCUGAGGCGCGAAAGCUAGGGGAGCAAACAGGAUUAGAUCCCCCUGUAGU
This 447-nucleotide ribosomal RNA is filed under the name uncultured bacterium. RNAcentral's name for it is "partial 16S ribosomal RNA". It matches the Rfam family "Bacterial small subunit ribosomal RNA", at positions 338 to 794 of the family's 1533-position model. The record is from RNAcentral.